GAUGAACGCUGGCGGCGUGCUUAACACAUGCAAGUCGAACGGUGAAGCAGGAGCUUGCUCUUGUGGAUCAGUGGCGAACGGGUGAGUAACACGUGAGCAACCUGCCCCUGACUCUGGGAUAAGCGCUGGAAACGGCGUCUAAUACUGGAUAUGUGAUGUGACCGCAUGGUCUGCAUCUGGAAAAAAUUUCGGUUGGGGAUGGGCUCGCGGCCUAUCAGCUUGUUGGUGAGGUAAUGGCUCACCAAGGCGUCGACGGGUAGCCGGCCUGAGAGGGUGACCGGCCACACUGGGACUGAGACACUGCCCAGACUCCUACGGGAGGCAGCAGUGGGGAAUAUUGCACAAUGGGCGGAAGCCUGAUGCAGCAACGCCGCGUGAGGGAUGACGGCCUUCGGGUUGUAAACCUCUUUUAGCAGGGAAGAAGCGAAAGUGACGGUACCUGCAGAAAAAGCACCGGCUAACUACGUGCCAGCCGCCGCGGUAA
RNAcentral lists this ribosomal RNA (484 nucleotides) under uncultured bacterium. RNAcentral describes it as "partial 16S ribosomal RNA". It matches the Rfam family "Bacterial small subunit ribosomal RNA", at positions 28 to 523 of the family's 1533-position model. The record is from RNAcentral.